RNAcentral lists this microRNA precursor (64 nucleotides) under Sarcophilus harrisii (Tasmanian devil). Its description in RNAcentral is "Sha-Mir-7-P1_pre stem-loop". It matches the Rfam family "mir-7 microRNA precursor family", at positions 16 to 77 of the family's 91-position model. From Rfam's summary of the family: This family represents the microRNA (miRNA) precursor mir-7. The record is from RNAcentral. Lineage: Eukaryota; Metazoa; Chordata; Mammalia; Dasyuromorphia; Dasyuridae.
UGGAAGACUAGUGAUUUUGUUGUUCUCUAACGUAAAUAUUGACAACAAAUCCCAGUCUGCCUUA